CCCUUAUAAUAGCGAACCAAACAGCCCCUUAGAAGCGAGGCUGCAAAAUUUGUGGACAUGUCAGACCACCUUAAUGAAAUACAAGAAGAUGCUAGAAUUGCAAUUCUGAACUGUUUCCUGGAUUUCGCAGGUUCUCUUGAACGGAUUGGUGGAGAACUCUCAGAAAGUAGAUCAAAUAUUGAAAGUCAUUUACAAAAUGGCUAUAUGAAUGGAUUCGAAAGUGAAUUGCCUAGUGUGCAUUCUGGUGGUGCUGUAGGUGAUUCCCAUAAAAAGGCUUAGCGUAUUCAUAAUGUUUGCAUUCUGUAAUGUUCAUCAGUUUUCCACAAUGUUUAAACUUUUAACCCACUACUUGCACAUAUUUAAGUUGUAGUAUUUAUUGAUCUUGUGUUUAUUUCAUUAAGGUGGUCUGACAUGCUCA
Molecule: long non-coding RNA, 418 nt
Organism: Asparagus officinalis (garden asparagus)
Lineage: Eukaryota; Viridiplantae; Streptophyta; Magnoliopsida; Asparagales; Asparagaceae
Exons: 2
Source: RefSeq, a predicted model, not a curated record